Molecule: ribosomal RNA, 243 nt
Filed under: uncultured bacterium
Lineage: Bacteria
Description: partial 16S ribosomal RNA
Rfam family: Bacterial small subunit ribosomal RNA
Source: RNAcentral
GCAAGUCGAGCGAGAAAGCACUUCGGUGCGAGUACAGCGGCGGACGGGUGAGUAACGCGUAGGAAUCUACCUGGUAGUGGGGGACAACUUGGGGAAACCCAAGCUAAUACCGCAUACGCCCUAAGGGGGAAAGCGGGGGAUCUUCGGACCUCGCGCUAUUGGAUGAGCCUGCGUAGGAUUAGCUUGUUGGUGAGGUAAAGGCUCACCAAGGCAACGAUCCUUAGCUGGUCUGAGAGGAGGAGC